ACUGCUCAGUAACACGUGGACAACCUGCCCUUAGGUUGGGUAUAAACCCGGGAAACUGGGUAUAAUACCCGAUAGGUCUCGAUUGCUGGAAUGCAUCGAGAUUUAAAGCUCCGGCGCCUAAGGAUGGGUCUGCGGCCUAUCAGGUAGUAGUGGGUGUAGCGUACCUACUAGCCUACGACGGGUACGGGUUGUGAGAGCAAGAGCCCGGAGAUGGAUUCUGAGACACGAAUCCAGGCCCUACGGGGUGCAGCAGGCGCGAAAACUUUACAAUGCUGGCAACAGCGAUAAGGGAACCUCGAGUGCCAGGUUACAAAUCUGGCUGUCGAGAUGCCUAAAAAGCAUUUCAUAGCAAGGGCCGGGCAAGACCGGUGCCAGCCGCCGCGGUAACACCGGCGGCUCGAGUGGUAACCGUUAUUAUUGGGUCUAAAGGGUCUGUAGCCGGCCGGAUAAGUCUCUUGAGAAAUCUGGCAGCUUAACUGUCAGGCUUUCAGGAGAUACUGUCUGGCUCGAGGCCGGGAGAGGUGAGAGGUACUUCAGGGGUAGGGGUGAAAUCUUGUAAUCCUUGAAGGACCACCAGUGGCGAAGGCGUCUCACCAGAACGGACCUGACGGCAAAGGACGAAAGCUAGGGGCACGAACCGGAUUAGAUACCCGGGUAGUCCUAGCCGUAAACGAUACUCGCUAGGUGUCGGCCACGGUGCGACCGUUGUCGGUGCCGUAGGGAAGCCGUGAAGCGAGCCACCUGGGAAGUACGGCCGCAAGGCUGAAACUUAAAGGAAUUGGCGGGGGAGCACCACAACGGGUGGAGCUUGCGGUUUAAUUGGAUUCAACGCCGGAAAUCUUACCGGGACCGACAGCAAUAUGAAGGCCAGGCUGAAGACUUUGCCGGAUUAGCUGAGAGGUGGUGCAUGGCCGUCGUCAGUUCGUACUGUGAAGCAUCCUGUUAAGUCAGGCAACGAGCGAGACCCCUACC
RNAcentral lists this ribosomal RNA (972 nucleotides) under uncultured archaeon. RNAcentral describes it as "bacterial SSU rRNA". It matches the Rfam family "Archaeal small subunit ribosomal RNA", at positions 85 to 1058 of the family's 1478-position model. The record is from RNAcentral.